Molecule: unclassified non-coding RNA, 350 nt
Filed under: uncultured fungus
Lineage: Eukaryota; Fungi
Description: sequence contains ITS1
Source: RNAcentral
AAUCCGAGAAUUUCACCUCUAACGCCGCAAUACGAAUGCCCCCGUCUGUCCCUCUUAAUCAUUAUCUCGAGCUCCUAAAACCAACAAAAUAGAACCGAGAUCCUAUUCCAUUAUUCCAUGCACCACUAUUCGGGCCGAAACGCCUGUUUUGAGCACUCUAAUUUUUUCAAAGUAAACCUGCUAGCCACCCAAGGCACUCAGUCAAGAGGACCAUGGGAAGACCAGCGAAUAGUAUCCUCGGAAUCCAGUACAUGUCAAGCAGACAGACCGAACCCUCGGAAAAGAUCCAACUACGAGCUUUUUAACAGCAGCAGAAUUGGUAUAUGCUAUUGGAGCUGGAAUUACCGCGC